AGUGAACGCUGGCGGUAGGCCUAACACAUGCAAGUCGAACGGCAGCACAGUAAGAGCUUGCUCUUACGGGUGGCGAGUGGCGGACGGGUGAGGAAUACAUCGGAAUCUACUUUUUCGUGGGGGAUAACGUAGGGAAACUUACGCUAAUACCGCAUACGACCUACGGGUGAAAGCAGGGGAUCUUCGGACCUUGCGCGAUUGAAUGAGCCGAUGUCGGAUUAGCUAGUUGGCGGGGUAAAGGCCCACCAAGGCGACGAUCCGUAGCUGGUCUGAGAGGAUGAUCAGCCACACUGGAACUGAGACACGGUCCAGACUCCUACGGGAGGCAGCAGUGGGGAAUAUUGGACAAUGGGCGCAAGCCUGAUCCAGCCAUACCGCGUGGGUGAAGAAGGCCUUCGGGUUGUAAAGCCCUUUUGUUGGGAAAGAAAAGCAGCAGGUUAAUACCCCGCUGUUCUGACGGUACCUAAAGAAUAAGCACCGGCUAACUUCAUG
This 492-nucleotide ribosomal RNA is filed under the name uncultured bacterium. RNAcentral describes it as "partial 16S ribosomal RNA". It matches the Rfam family "Bacterial small subunit ribosomal RNA", at positions 29 to 507 of the family's 1533-position model. The record is from RNAcentral.